Molecule: ribosomal RNA, 705 nt
Filed under: uncultured beta proteobacterium
Lineage: Bacteria; Pseudomonadati; Pseudomonadota; Betaproteobacteria
Description: bacterial SSU rRNA
Rfam family: Bacterial small subunit ribosomal RNA
Source: RNAcentral
GUGCUUGCACCUGGUGGCGAGUGGCGAACGGGUGAGUAAUACAUCGGAACAUGUCCUGUAGUGGGGGAUAGCCCGGCGAAGGCCGGAUUAAUACCGCAUACGAUCUACGGAUGAAAGCGGGGGACCUUCGGGCCUCGCGCUAUAGGGUUGGCCGAUGGCUGAUUAGCUAGUUGGUGGGGUAAAGGCCUACCAAGGCGACGAUCAGUAGCUGGUCUGAGAGGACGACCAGCCACACUGGGACUGAGACACGGCCCAGACUCCUACGGGAGGCAGCAGUGGGGAAUUUUGGACAAUGGGCGAAAGCCUGAUCCAGCAAUGCCGCGUGUGUGAAGAAGGCCUUCGGGUUGUAAAGCACUUUUGUCCGGAAAGAAAUCCUUGGUUCUAAUAUAGCCGGGGGAUGACGGUACCGGAAGAAUAGGCACCGGCUAACUACGUGCCAGCAGCCGCGGUAAUACGUAGGGUGCGAGCGUUAAUCGGAAUUACUGGGCGUAAAGCGUGCGCAGGCGGUUUGCUAAGACCGAUGUGAAAUCCCCGGGCUCAACCUGGGAACUGCAUUGGUGACUGGCAGGCUAGAGUAUGGCAGAGGGGGGUAGAAUUCCACGUGUAGCAGUGAAAUGCGUAGAGAUGUGGAGGAAUACCGAUGGCGAAGGCAGCCCCCUGGGCCAAUACUGACGCUCAUGCACGAAAGCGUGGGGAGCAAACAGG